Ictalurus punctatus (channel catfish) is the source of this 538-nucleotide long non-coding RNA. Lineage: Eukaryota; Metazoa; Chordata; Actinopteri; Siluriformes; Ictaluridae. The record is from Ensembl.
GAAUAUUUAUUUAUUUAAUAUUGGCCCUCAUUUUUGUGUAUUUAUAGCCAAGACAUACCUUUCAGCAUGGCAUAUUGUGGUUACAUGAAACCAUCAAACAGUGGUGCUGGACUUAAUACUGCUCCUCACUCAAGCUGAGAAGAAGAAGAAGAAGAAGAAGAAGAAGAAGAAGAAGAAGAAGAAGAAGAAGAAGAAGAAGAAGAAGAAGAAGAAGAAGAAGAAGAAGAAGAAUUGCAAGGUCAGGAUUCAGCCACUAUUUUUUGGCAAACUCCACCCUGCAUGUGUAAUGGUCAGACAUGUUCACAAGUCCCUGAGGUCAAAGUCCAAGACAAGUCUCAAGUCUUAGAGGUCCAAGUUCAAAUAAAGUCUCAAGUCUUUGAGGUCCAAGUCCAAGUCAAGUCUCAAGUCUUAGAGGUCCAAGUUCAAAUAAAGUCUCAAGUCUUUGAGGUCCAAGUUCAAAUAAAGUCUCAAGUCUUUGAGGUCCAAGUCCAAGUCAAGUCUCAAGUCUUAGAGGUCCAAGUCCAAGUCAAGUCUCAAG